This 427-nucleotide ribosomal RNA is filed under the name uncultured bacterium. RNAcentral's name for it is "bacterial SSU rRNA". It matches the Rfam family "Bacterial small subunit ribosomal RNA", at positions 355 to 774 of the family's 1533-position model. The record is from RNAcentral.
UAGGGAAUAUUGGACAAUGGGGGCAACCCUGUUCCAGCCAUGCCGCGUGAGUGAAGAAGGCCCUCGGGUUGUAAAGCUCUUUUGUCCGGAAAGAAAAGCAUUCGGUGAAUACCCGGAUGUUCUGACGGUACCGGAAGAAUAAGCACCGGCUAACUUCGUGCCAGCAGCCGCGGUAAUACGAAGGGUGCAAGCGUUACUCGGAAUUACUGGGCGUAAAGCGUGCGUAGGUGGUUGUUUAAGUCUGAUGUGAAAGCCCUGGGCUCAACCUGGGAAUGGCAUUGGAAACUGGGCAGCUAGAGUGCGGUAGAGGGUAGUGGAAUUCCCGGUGUAGCAGUGAAAUGCGUAGAGAUCGGGAGGAACAUCCGUGGCGAAGGCGACUGCCUGGACCAGCACUGACACUGAGGCACGAAAGCGUGGGGAGCAAACA